UGCGUAGGGUGCAAGCGUUGUCCGGAAUUAUUGGGCGUAAAGAGCUCGUAGGCGGUCUGUCGCGUCGGAUGUGAAAACCCAGGGCUCAACCCUGGGCCUGCAUUCGAUACGGGCAGACUAGAGUUCGGUAGGGGAGACUGGAAUUCCUGGUGUAGCGGUGAAAUGCGCAGAUAUCAGGAGGAACACCGGUGGCGAAGGCGGGUCUCUGGGCCGAAACUGACGCUGAGGAGCGAAAGCGUGGGGAGCAAACAGG
RNAcentral lists this ribosomal RNA (253 nucleotides) under uncultured bacterium. Its description in RNAcentral is "partial 16S ribosomal RNA". It matches the Rfam family "Bacterial small subunit ribosomal RNA", at positions 524 to 776 of the family's 1533-position model. The record is from RNAcentral.